CUGCGAUAAGCGCCGGUAAGGUGAUAUGAACCGUUAUAACCGGCGAUACCCGAAUGGGGAAACCCAGUGUGACUCGUCACACUAUCAUUAACUGAAUCCAUAGGUUAAUGAGGCGAACCGGGGGAACUGAAACAUCUAAGUACCCCGAGGAAAAGAAAUCAACCGAGAUUCCCCCAGUAGCGGCGAGCGAACGGGGAGGAGCCCAGAGCCUGAAUCAGCAUGUGUGUUAGUGGAAGCGUCUGGAAAGGCGCGCGAUACAGGGUGACAGCCCCGUACACAAAAGCGCAUGUGCUGUGAGCUCGAUGAGUAGGGCGGGACACGUGGUAUCCUGUCUGAAUAUGGGGGGACCAUCCUCCAAGGCUAAAUACUCCUGACUGACCGAUAGUGAACCAGUACCGUGAGGGAAAGGCGAAAAGAACCCCGGCGAGGGGAGUGAAAAAGAACCUGAAACCGUGUACGUACAAGCAGUGGGAGCACCCUUUGGGUGUGACUGCGUACCUUUUGUAUAAUGGGUCAGCGACUUAUAUUCUGUAGCAAGGUUAACCGAAUAGGGGAGCCGGAGGGAAACCGAGUCUUAACCGGGCGUUAAGUUGCAGGGUAUAGACCCGAAACCCGGUGAUCUAGCCAUGGGCAGGUUGAAGGUUGGGUAACACUAACUGGAGGACCGAACCGACUAAUGUUGAAAAAUUAGCGGAUGACCUGUGGCUGGGGGUGAAAGGCCAAUCAAACCGGGAGAUAGCUGGUUCUCCCCGAAAGCUAUUUAGGUAGCGCCUCGUGAAUUCAUCUCCGGGGGUAGAGCACUGUUUCGGCUAGGGGGCCAUCCCGGCUUACCAACCCGAUGCAAACUGCGAAUACCGGAGAAUGUUAUCACGGGAGACACACGGCGGGUGCUAACGUCCGUCGUGAAGAGGGAAACAACCCAGACCGCCAGCUAAGGUCCCAAAGUCAUGGUUAAGUGGGAAACGAUGUGGGAAGGCCCAGACAGCCAGGAUGUUGGCUUAGAAGCAGCCAUCAUUUAAAGAAAGCGUAAUAGCUCACUGGUCGAGUCGGCCUGCGCGGAAGAUGUAACGGGGCUAAACCAUGCACCGAAGCUGCGGCAGCGACACUGUGUGUUGUUGGGUAGGGGAGCGUUCUGUAAGCCUGCGAAGGUGGCCUGUGAGGGUUGCUGGAGGUAUCAGAAGUGCGAAUGCUGACAUAAGUAACGAUAAAGCGGGUGAAAAGCCCGCUCGCCGGAAGACCAAGGGUUCCUGUCCAACGUUAAUCGGGGCAGGGUGAGUCGACCCCUAAGGCGAGGCCGAAAGGCGUAGUCGAUGGGAAACGGGUUAAUAUUCCCGUACUUGGUGUUACUGCGAAGGGGGGACGGAGAAGGCUAUGUUGGCCGGGCGACGGUUGUCCCGGUUUAAGCGUGUAGGUGUGUGUUCCAGGUAAAUCCGGUUCACUUUAACACUGAGGCGUGACGACGAGGCACUACGGUGCUGAAGCAACAAAUGCCCUGCUUCCAGGAAAAGCCUCUAAGCAUCAGGUAACAUCAAAUCGUACCCCAAACCGACACAGGUGGUCAGGUAGAGAAUACCAAGGCGCUUGAGAGAACUCGGGUGAAGGAACUAGGCAAAAUGGUGCCGUAACUUCGGGAGAAGGCACGCUGACACGUAGGUGAAGUGAUUUACUCAUGGAGCUGAAGUCAGUCGAAGAUACCAGCUGGCUGCAACUGUUUAUUAAAAACACAGCACUGUGCAAACACGAAAGUGGACGUAUACGGUGUGACGCCUGCCCGGUGCCGGAAGGUUAAUUGAUGGGGUCAGCGCAAGCGAAGCUCCUGAUCGAAGCCCCGGUAAACGGCGGCCGUAACUAUAACGGUCCUAAGGUAGCGAAAUUCCUUGUCGGGUAAGUUCCGACCUGCACGAAUGGCGUAAUGAUGGCCAGGCUGUCUCCACCCGAGACUCAGUGAAAUUGAACUCGCUGUGAAGAUGCAGUGUACCCGCGGCAAGACGGAAAGACCCCGUGAACCUUUACUAUAGCUUGACACUGAACAUUGAGCCUUGAUGUGUAGGAUAGGUGGGAGGCUUUGAAGUGUGGACGCCAGUCUGCAUGGAGCCGACCUUGAAAUACCACCCUUUAAUGUUUGAUGUUCUAACGUGGACCCGUUACCCGGGUUGCGGACAGUGUCUGGUGGGUAGUUUGACUGGGGCGGUCUCCUCCUAAAGAGUAACGGAGGAGCACGAAGGUUGGCUAAUCCUGGUCGGACAUCAGGAGGUUAGUGCAAUGGCAUAAGCCAGCUUGACUGCGAGCGUGACGGCGCGAGCAGGUGCGAAAGCAGGUCAUAGUGAUCCGGUGGUUCUGAAUGGAAGGGCCAUCGCUCAACGGAUAAAAGGUACUCCGGGGAUAACAGGCUGAUACCGCCCAAGAGUUCAUAUCGACGGCGGUGUUUGGCACCUCGAUGUCGGCUCAUCACAUCCUGGGGCUGAAGUAGGUCCCAAGGGUAUGGCUGUUCGCCAUUUAAAGUGGUACGCGAGCUGGGUUUAGAACGUCGUGAGACAGUUCGGUCCCUAUCUGCCGUGGGCGCUGGAGAACUGAGGGGGGCUGCUCCUAGUACGAGAGGACCGGAGUGGACGCAUCACUGGUGUUCGGGUUGUCAUGCCAAUGGCACUGCCCGGUAGCUAAAUGCGGAAGAGAUAAGUGCUGAAAGCAUCUAAGCACGAAACUUGCCCCGAGAUGAGUUCUCCCUGAGACUUAAAGUCUCCUGAAGGAACGUUGAAGACGACGACGU
This 2767-nucleotide ribosomal RNA is filed under the name Salmonella enterica subsp. enterica serovar Enteritidis. RNAcentral describes it as "partial 23S ribosomal RNA". It matches the Rfam family "Bacterial large subunit ribosomal RNA". Lineage: Bacteria; Pseudomonadati; Pseudomonadota; Gammaproteobacteria; Enterobacterales; Enterobacteriaceae. The record is from RNAcentral.